CGAACGCUGGCGGCGUGCUUAACACAUGCAAGUCGAACGGUGAAGCGCCUUCCUUUUUGGUGGGUGUGGAUGAGUGGCGAACGGGUGAGUAACACGUGAGUAACCUGCCCCCUUCUUCUGGAUAACCGCAUGAAAGUGUGGCUAAUACGGGAUAUUCUGGGUCUGUCGCAUGAUGGGUCUGGGAAAGAUAUUGUUUCGGUGGGGGAUGGGCUCGCGGCCUAUCAGCUUGUUGGUGGGGUGAUGGCCUACCAAGGCGGUGACGGGUAGCCGGCCUGAGAGGGUGGACGGUCACACUGGGACUGAGACACGGCCCAGACUCCUACGGGAGGCAGCAGUGGGGAAUAGUGCACAAUGGGCGCAAGCCUGAUGCAGCGACGCCGCGUGAGGGAUGGAGGCCUUCGGGUUGUGAACCUCUUUCGCCAGUGAAGCAGGCCUGCCUCGUUUGUGGGUGGGUUGACGGUAGCUGGAUAAGAAGCGCCGGCUAACUACGUG
Molecule: ribosomal RNA, 492 nt
Filed under: uncultured bacterium
Lineage: Bacteria
Description: partial 16S ribosomal RNA
Rfam family: Bacterial small subunit ribosomal RNA
Source: RNAcentral